UUCUAUUGAUUUGUCUUUAUCAAUUAGUCCUCGGGAGGAACAAGUAAGUGUUAGAAUGAAAAAUGAUCUUAUAACAAUGAUCGAUCAGUAAAUUUUCACCACAGCCUUUCCUUCAGAAAUUCCACAAAUUAAAGUAGAAUGAUGAAUAAUAGACUCCAAAAUAUGAAAUAAGAGAAUUCUAACAUGGUAAAUUUAUCCUUUCCAUAUAUGUACCUAUAAUAGAUUUGUAUCUAAUUAAUGAUGUAAAAAUGUGAAUCUGACAACAUCACACGUUAGGGUUCUUUUAAAACAAAGGAAGAAAGAGUAGAAACAUGCAGCAAUCAGAAUACAGAGUAAUGCUUUGUAAGCUCAUCAAAAGUUGAGAAAUAUAUA
RNAcentral lists this long non-coding RNA (372 nucleotides) under Citrus sinensis (sweet orange). RNAcentral describes it as "long non-coding RNA (CSIN_LNC003067)". Lineage: Eukaryota; Viridiplantae; Streptophyta; Magnoliopsida; Sapindales; Rutaceae. The record is from RNAcentral.